Molecule: long non-coding RNA, 6188 nt
Organism: Trifolium pratense (red clover)
Lineage: Eukaryota; Viridiplantae; Streptophyta; Magnoliopsida; Fabales; Fabaceae
Exons: 5
Source: RefSeq, a predicted model, not a curated record
UUUUCUCCAUAAUUCACUAUAUAUAAACGACCCUAACCAUCUCUUUCUCUCACCCUAUUUGCCGCGUCAAAAUUGUAUCAUCACCAAUCCUAAUUUUCAGUUCGUUUUUUCUCAUCGUUUCGAUCUCGAUUUCGUUGAAUCGUUAUCGAUUCGAGACCUUCGAAAUUGAGAUUUGACGCAGACACAUACUCAUUCAAUCUGGUUAUCUGAUCAUGAAUCCAAUAAGGUCUCGCCGUCGUGGUGGAUCUAGUGAUGAUCGUGGAUUUGAUGCAAAAUCUGUGUUGAAUCAGAUCGAUUAACACAAAAUUAGUUCAAUAUUUUUAGUUUAUGAUAAUAAUCCUAUAUGAUGAUGUUGUUAUAUUUUGUAUCGGUUUUGAAUUUCGAUCGGCUAGAUCGGAAUUUUUGGUUGCUAGAGAGAGAUAGAUGUGAUGUGAAAGGUACUCUGUUCAGUUUGUGUGAAUUUUGUUAAUGGAUCUUUGCCAUGUCAGGUGCGCUUGCAUGGCAGAUCCGAAAAAGCUUAAUAAAAUAACAGUUAUUUUGUUUUGAGAGGGAGAGAGAUUGGUUUGGGGUCUUUUUUUUAUUUGCCCCGCCACUUUCUCCCUCUGUUGUGGGUGUGUCUUGCCUUUUCUCCUUUUUGCUUUUCUUUUCUGUUUUUUUUACCAGCUGCGCAUAUUAGGAUUCUAAUUAACAAUCUAUUGUUCUACGAAACCUAAUUCAACCGAUGGUGUUAAAUAGAAGCUAUAACGGGUCGUAGCACUAUGACGAAACAAAAUUUGAACAAAUAGCUAUUGUUUUGUGAGAAUAUGCUAUUUAGUAUAAAAUAUUGUCAAAUAGUAGUUGCUAUGGCGGCGUUAUAAUUGGACAACUAUUUUCUGUGACAUGCGAUUGAUAACAUUGAAUUCAACAAGCAAUUGGCUAUUGGCACGACAAUGCAAUGAUAACAAGGUAAACAGUUAUGUUUUUGUUAGAAUUGAACACUUUAUAAUCUCUUUUAUACUUACUAUAGGUUAUAAUAACUCACAUGUCUUGAACUCAUAGCAUGCCCAAUAUUGUAUAAAUUGAAGGCUAUGCCUGCAAUUAAACUCCACAAUAUGCUUUAAUCAAAUUUAGUUAAGAAUUAAGAUAGAGAUGUGCAAUAUUUUCGUCCACGGCUUAUUUUAUUAAUUACAUCUUUAUGUCAUCUUUAAUUCAAUGUUCUGCAUUUAGACUAGUCUAAAUUAAAUUUAAAUAUCAUACAUACUAGUAAUACCUAUCUGUUACCACUCAAAACUUUGAAUUUGUACAUUAACUAAGUCGGAGAGGCAUCAAAAUUAUCUGGCUGAGAGGAACUUAACUUAUUUAGUGAAUACAGUAAAUAAAAACGCAUAUGCAUAUGUUUGUUACUCAUGAACACUCGUACACACUUGUACUAUGAUACAUAUUAUCUAUAGCUCUUAAGCUACAAAGUUUAUUUAAUUUUCCCAGUAAUUGUAUCUAUAUGGUGGUGAAUGUGUCUGACAUCCAUAUUUGUUCAAUACUAUGACUGUUGAUAUCAAGUGACUGUAUGAAACUGAUGGGUGUUUUGCCCCUGAAUUAUAAGCUCUUAGUGGGGUUUCUAAUAGGUUUUCUUGGCAUGUGUGGGAUUUGUUGUACGAACUGUUACAGUAAUAAGCUUCCAAGAAGCUUACUAGCUGGUGAGUGCAGAUUGCAGUAAAACACUGUACGUGUAACAUUGAGGCUCAUGGUGUAUUUGUAAUGUUGUUGUCAAGUAUUAUACUCUUUUCAAACAUUGUGCGACCUGGAAUACAUCUUGUAAGGAGAAAUCUGAAGACCUGAUUGUUGCUAGAGGAUUAAGGUUCCCGAGGACUGAUUUGUUCAAACUGUCUUGAAGUUUUGUGAAGCUGGGAAGAUUUGGAGGUAUAUGUUUUCAUCCCUUGCGAAUUUCAAUCGGCAAGAUCAGAAGUUUUGGUUGCUGAGAGAUACAUGUAAUAUGAGUGUAAAGUAUAUACACUACAACAUAAGGUACUUGUUCUGUUGUUAACGGAUCUUUGCCAUGUCAGGUGCGCUUGCAUGGCAGAUCCAAACAAUCUUAAUAAAAUUACAGUUAUUUUGUGUUGAGAGGGGAGAGAUAGGUUUGUGGACAUUUUAUUUUAUUUCUUUGUCCCGCCUCUCUCUCCCCCUCUGUUGUGUGUGCCUUGUGUCUUCUCCUCUUUCUUCUAGCUUUUUUUUUUUUUUGCUUUUCUUUUUAAUUCUGUUACUUUGCUUCAGUCUAUUGUGCCCCACACAUAUUUGGAUUGUUCUAUUUAACAAUCUACCGUCACGAAACCUAAUUCAACAAGCAAUUUGCAACUGGUUGAGUUAUGUGGUGCAAUAUCCAAGUACGUUUUUGUUCUAUUGCUAGACUUGAGCAUUUAACAAUCUCUUUUUUACUUAUAAUAAUUAACAUGUCUCGAAUUCAUGCCAUUAUUAUAUGGUUUAUUGAUUAAAAUCAAAGGCUAUGGCUGUUAAUCAAUUUAUUCAAGACAAAUGUGUGUGUGUGUGUGUAUCUUUGUUCACUCACGAGCACUCUUACAAACUUGGGACCGUGACACAUAUCUCUAGUUCUUGAGCUGCAAAGUUUAUAAUUUUCCCAGUAUAUGAUAUCCAUAUUUGUUCAAUACCAUAACUGUAGACAUGAAAUGGCUGUUGAAACUGGUUGGUGUUUUGCUGUUGUAAAUUGUAAUAUAAGCUGCUAGUUGGACUUGUAAUUGGGUUUUGUUGGCAUGUGUGGGAUUUUGUUGUAUGAACUACUUAAAUUGGCCGUCAAGGAAUAAUGUUCUUGGUGUAGUUUCCACUAUUGAUGUCAAGAGAAAUCUGAAGACCAGAUUGCUGCUAGAGGAUUAAUGUUUCAGGACUAGUUUGCUCAAAUUGUCCUAAAUUUUUGUGAAGCAGGGAAAAUCAUUUGAUUCUUUUGUUGGAGAUUUUAUUGGAGUUUUAUAUUUUGUAUCCCUUGCAAACUUCAAUUGGCAAGAUCAGAAGUUUUGGUUGUGAGAGAUACAUGUAAUAUAAUAUGAGUGUCAUGUAUAUACAACAACAGAAGGUACUUGUUCCGUUUUUGUAGUAUUUGUUAAUGGAUCUUUGCCAUGUCAGGUGCGCUUGCAUGGCAGGUCCUAAAAUCUUAAUAAAAUUACAGUUAUUUUGUUUUGAGAGGGGAGAGCUAGGUUUGGGGACAUUAUCUUUUAUUUAUUUGCCCCGCCUCUCCCCCUCUGCUGUGUCUGUCUUGUUGUCUUCUCCUUUUUCUUUACUCCGUUAUGCGCCACACUCAAACGUUUUGGUUGUGAGAGAUACAUGUAAUAUAAUAUGAGUGUCAUGUAUAUACAACAACAGAAGGUACUUGUUCCGUUUUUGUAGUAUUUGUUAAUGGAUCUUUGCCAUGUUAGGUGCGCUUGCAUGGCAGGUCCGCAAAUCGUAAUAAAAUUACAGUUAUUUUGUUUUGAGAGGGGAGAGCUAGGUUUGGGGACAUUAUCUUUUAUUUAUUUGCCCCGCCUCUCCCCCUCUGUUGUGUCUUUCUUGUUGUCUUCUUUUUCUUUACUCUUUUAUGCGCCACACAUAUUAGGAUUAUAAUUUACACUAUCCUCGUUACGAAACCUAUUUCUGCAAAGCAAUUAUCGACACUUUGAUGUAUACAAAGCAAUUAAUAACACUUUGAUGUAUACAAUGCAAUAACAAGGUACAUGGUUAUGUUGUUAUAAUAUUAUUACUAGACUAGAAUUGAACAUUUUAUAGUCUCUUUUAUACUUAUAGUUGUAUAGUCUCUUAUACUUGUAGUAACUCAUUCCUGAAUUCAUGACAUUAUUUUAUAGUGUAUUGAUCAAAAUUGAAGGCUAUGGCUACAAUUAAAGUCUUGGAUAUGUUUUAAUCAAUUUAUUACAGACAUACAUGUGCAACAUUUUCAUCAUUGAGUUAUUUUAUUCUUUCAUCUUUUUGUCAUAUUUCAAUUUCUAGUGUUAAAUUUUCUACACUUAAAUUAUACACUUGUACUAUGAAAUGUAGAAUCUCAAGCUCUUAAGUUGCAAACGUUAUUUGAAUUAUUCCAGUGUAUAACUGUUUACAUGAAAUGACUAUUCAAGCUUUGAAGUUGCAAAGUUUAUUUGAAUUAUUCCAAUAUAUAUCUGCUUACAUGAAAUAACUAUCUAAACUGGUCGGCGUUUCACCGUUGUAGUAUAAACUGUUAUUCGACUUGUGAUUGGGUAUUCCUGGGAUGUGUUGGAUUCUAUUGUAUGUGAAGGAGCCUACUAGCUGGUGAGUGCAAAUCGCUGUAAAAAACUGUACCUAGUGUAUCUUCAAGGCUUUUUGCAGUAGUUUGUAUUACAUUCCACCUUUUCAAGCAUGGUGUGACUUGGAGUAACAUCUUAUUAAGUGAAUUAUGAAGAUCUGAUUGCUGCUAGAGGACCGAGCUUCCAGUAUUGGCUUGUACAACUUGUCCUACAGUUGUGUAGCAGCCUAGCAGGGAAGAAGACCGUUUGAUGCUUCUAUUGGAGAAUUUUUGUGGAGUUGAAAUAGCAUUAUUUUAUCGAGCUUCAUUUGUGAGGUGAUAAUUUUGUUAUUUGUUCGGGAUAACUCCAUUUUAUAUUUGGAGGACACCAGCUUGUUUAUAUUUAUCUUAAUUUGUUUGAAGGAAAUUUUAGGACGGGAGUGUAUGCUUUCAGUUUAACUAGUCUUUGGGCUAGUAUAAACUUUAAGCGCAUGCUCAUCUGUGUAGUAAAAAAUAGAGGAAGACCGGUGUGUCGUCACAGAUGAAUGUUGUGAGUUUCUUCAUUCAAUGGAGGAAAAAGGAUAAUGAAAGAAGAAAGAAGGGAAAGAUGAUGAAUUCUAAUUUAUGAAUUUGAAAUAUGGUUAGGACACUACCCUUAUAUUUUUAUUAUAAGGACUAAUUUGUUUCAUACAUUUUUCAACAUUACAAGUAGUCUAGACCUAUGCACAAUCAAAUUCAACAGAGUCGGUAUAGUAAAUCAUAAACAAAUGAGAUUUGGUUUACCAUUCUGAAGUAUUAAAAGUUGUUUUUUAAGAAUCAAAUAAGAGUCUGGUUUACUAUUCUGAUCUGAUUCAGGUACAAAAUUGUGUAAUAAGUUUAAAGUUUUUUUUUUUUUUGAAAAAUGUGGUAAAAUUUGUGCUUGUCAUAUACAUUCUUUGUAUAUUAAAAUUUUAACUUGAGUUUAAGGGAUAUGCAUCAACGGCGUAAAAUAAUUUUACAUCGUUAUCCAAUGGUAACAUAUCUUUUCAUUUAUGCAUAUUUUGUAACCGAUUUUAGAAAUAACCAACACAGUAGAUUUAGUUUACACCAACAUUGCAUGUUUUUCUUUUAAGUUUACAGUGCCCAUUUUUAAAUAAAUGAUACUUUUAUUUAGAAUAAAAAGGUGAAAGAGACCCUAUUUACAUUGUUGGGUACUGGUAUAGACAAUUUAAUGUCAUAUCAUAUUUUCAUAUUAAUUUAUACUUAAAAAGUUUAUGUUUCAAAUGAAUUUUGUCUUUGCGUACUGGUAUCUAACAAUCUAACAAUGUAAAUUGGGUUCUAAGAAUCUACUUAAAUGAAUAUGGAUCCAACAGUUCUGUAUAUAAACUUGGAGAGUUUUUCACUUAUAUUUUGGAAACGACAGCUGCCAAAUAUAUCCUUGUCCAGAUGAGUAAAUUUAGACAAAAUUGUGUUUUUACCGGAUGAGCAAACUUGGACGGGUGGUUUUUAAGAAUCACGAGUGGUAGGAAAAUAAAUUCUCAUGAAAUUAUAUAAACUUAAUGGUACUCAGCAAUGGCUCAACAAUGUUACCCAGAUAUGUUCUUUGAGAUUGUCUUAUUGCCUAUGAUGGAUCCAUAUGCUCAUAUUGGAAUGAGCCCCCAUACUACUAUAUGUAUGGGAGGUUGGUGGUUCGACUCCACCUGGAUCCGAGUUAUGUCAUGUAAAAGCAUAGUACUCAUCUUUAGUUCUCUUUGUCUGCAAAGUGAAGUUAUAAUAGUUGCAUGUAGUUCAUUGUAGAGGUCUGUAUAUGUGUUAGUGGUGUAUCAAUGAAGAGAGUUUAAAAACCAGUUAGUUUCACUAUGGGUGAUACUGUGAAAUCAUUUAGGCUUAGCCAUGGAUAUUGAUGUCAAGCUUAGAUGGAAAUGUUCUGUCAUAUCAUAUGUGUAAAUCAUUGGUUGGUAUGAAAUCAUAUUUUAUAUAGUGAAAUUAUGAUCAA